This 253-nucleotide ribosomal RNA is filed under the name uncultured bacterium. Its description in RNAcentral is "partial 16S ribosomal RNA". It matches the Rfam family "Bacterial small subunit ribosomal RNA", at positions 524 to 776 of the family's 1533-position model. The record is from RNAcentral.
UACGGAGGGGGCUAGCGUUGUUCGGAAUUACUGGGCGGAAAGCGCACGUAGGCGGCUUUGUAAGUUAGAGGUGAAAGCCCGGGGCUCAACCCCGGAAUUGCCUUUAAGACUGCAUCGCUUGAAUUGUGGAGAGGUAAGUGGAAUUCCGAGUGUAGAGGUGAAAUUCGUAGAUAUUCGGAAGAACACCAGUGGCGAAGGCGACUUACUGGACACAUAUUGACGCUGAGGUGCGAAAGCGUGGGGAGCGAUCCGG